Molecule: non-coding RNA, 100 nt
Organism: Arabidopsis thaliana (thale cress)
Lineage: Eukaryota; Viridiplantae; Streptophyta; Magnoliopsida; Brassicales; Brassicaceae
Source: RefSeq
UUCUAAACUAAUCACGGAAAUGCAAAAAUUGGAUACUACACUAUCAACUUUUUUCUUUUGUUCUCUUUAUCUCGUGAAUUUCCAUUUAAUGAGUUUAGUU